UACGGGGGGGGCAAGCGUUGUUCGGAAUUACUGGGCGUAAAGGGUGCGUAGGCGGUUCGCUAAGUUGGAUGUGAAAACUCUGGGCUCAACCCAGAGCCUGCAUCCAAUACUGACGAGCUAGAGUUCUGGAGGGGAUAGCGGAAUUCCUGGUGUAGCGGUGAAAUGCGUAGAUAUCAGGAGGAACACCGGUGGCGAAGGCGGCUAUCUGGACAGAGUCUGACGCUGAGGCACGAAAGCUAGGGGAGCAAACAGG
This 253-nucleotide ribosomal RNA is filed under the name uncultured bacterium. Its description in RNAcentral is "partial 16S ribosomal RNA". It matches the Rfam family "Bacterial small subunit ribosomal RNA", at positions 524 to 776 of the family's 1533-position model. The record is from RNAcentral.